GAUGAACGCUGGCGGCGUGCCUAAUACAUGCAAGUCGAGCGAACGGACGAGAAGCUUGCUUCUCUGAUGUUAGCGGCGGACGGGUGAGUAACACGUGGAUAACCUACCUAUAAGACUGGGAUAACUUCGGGAAACCGUAGCUAAUACCGGAUAAUAUUUUGAACCGCAUGGUUCAAAAGUGAAAGACGGUCUUGCUGUCACUUAUAGAUGGAUCCGCGCUGCAUUAGCUAGUUGGUAAGGUAACGGCUUACCAAGGCAACGAUGCAUAGCCGACCUGAGAGGGUGAUCGGCCACACUGGAACCGAGACACGGUCCAGACUCCUACGGGAGGCAGCAGUAGGGAAUCUUCCGCAAUGGGCGAAAGCCUGACGGAGCAACGCCGCGUGAGUGAUGAAGGUCUUCGGAUCGUAAAACUCUGUUAUUAGGGAAGAACAUAUGUGUAAGUAACUGUGCACAUCUUGACGGUACCUAAUCAGAAAGCCACGGCUAACUACGUG
Molecule: ribosomal RNA, 497 nt
Filed under: uncultured bacterium
Lineage: Bacteria
Description: partial 16S ribosomal RNA
Rfam family: Bacterial small subunit ribosomal RNA
Source: RNAcentral